UACAGAGGGUGCGAGCGUUGUUCGGAAUUACUGGGCGUAAAGCGCGCGCAGGCGGCCCUUUAAGUCUACCCGUGAAAUGCCGGAGCUCAACUCCGUGCACGCCGGGGGAUACUGGAGGGCUGGAGACAGGUAGAGGCAGGCGGAAUUCCGGGUGUAGCGGUGGAAUGCGUAGAGAUCCGGAAGAACACCAGAGGCGAAGGCGGCCUGCUGGGCCUUACCUGACGCUGAGGAGCGAAAGCUGGGGGAGCGAACAGG
RNAcentral lists this ribosomal RNA (255 nucleotides) under uncultured bacterium. Its description in RNAcentral is "partial 16S ribosomal RNA". It matches the Rfam family "Bacterial small subunit ribosomal RNA", at positions 524 to 776 of the family's 1533-position model. The record is from RNAcentral.